RNAcentral lists this ribosomal RNA (594 nucleotides) under Penicillium paneum. Its description in RNAcentral is "LSU rRNA". It matches the Rfam family "Eukaryotic large subunit ribosomal RNA", at positions 36 to 618 of the family's 3401-position model. The record is from RNAcentral. Lineage: Eukaryota; Fungi; Ascomycota; Eurotiomycetes; Eurotiales; Aspergillaceae.
UUGCAUAUCAAUAAGCGGAGGAAAAGAAACCAACAGGGAUUGCCCCAGUAACGGCGAGUGAAGCGGCAAGAGCUCAAAUUUGAAAGCUGGCUCCUUCGGGGUCCGCAUUGUAAUUUGUAGAGGAUGCUUCGGGAGCGGUCCCCAUCUAAGUGCCCUGGAACGGGACGUCAUAGAGGGUGAGAAUCCCGUAUGGGAUGGGGUGUCCGCGCCCGUGUGAAGCUCCUUCGACGAGUCGAGUUGUUUGGGAAUGCAGCUCUAAAUGGGUGGUAAAUUUCAUCUAAAGCUAAAUAUUGGCCGGAGACCGAUAGCGCACAAGUAGAGUGAUCGAAAGAUGAAAAGCACUUUGAAAAGAGAGUUAAAAAGCACGUGAAAUUGUUGAAAGGGAAGCGCUUGCGACCAGACUCGCUCGCGGGGUUCAGCCGGCAUUCGUGCCGGUGUAUUUCCCCGCGGGCGGGCCAGCGUCGGUUUGGGCGGUCGGUCAAAGGCCCUCGGAAGGUAACGCCCCUCGGGGCGUCUUAUAGCCGAGGGUGCAAUGCGACCUGCCCGGACCGAGGAACGCGUUCGGUCGGACGCGGCAUAAGUCUAACGUCAUUU